Molecule: ribosomal RNA, 250 nt
Filed under: uncultured bacterium
Lineage: Bacteria
Description: partial 16S ribosomal RNA
Rfam family: Bacterial small subunit ribosomal RNA
Source: RNAcentral
UACGGAGGGUGCAAGCGUUAAUCGGAAUGACUGGGCGUAAAGGGCAUGCAGGCGGUGAGUUAAGUUAGAUGUGAAAGCCCUGGGCUCAACUUGGGAACUGCAUUUAAAACUGGCUGACUAGAGUUUUGUAGAGGGGGGUAGAAUUCCAGGUGUAGCGGUGGAAUGCGUAGAGAUCUGGAGGAAUACCGGUGGCGAAGGCGGCCCCCUGGACAGUAACUGACGCUCAGAUGCGAAAGCGUGGGUAGCAAAC